Molecule: long non-coding RNA, 962 nt
Organism: Pezoporus occidentalis (night parrot)
Lineage: Eukaryota; Metazoa; Chordata; Aves; Psittaciformes; Psittacidae
Exons: 4
Source: RefSeq, a predicted model, not a curated record
UAUUCCAACAUUUUACACAGAUAAAUUUUAGCUGUGAAAUAAUCUUUUUUUGUUUAUAUGGUGAUACAGAGGUUAAGUAAGAAUCCUUAAAACAUUUUCCUGCUCUGCAGAGGCACAGGGAUGUAGCAACACCAUAUUUAAAAAUAUUCAUUCCCCUUCCUGGCAAUAUUUCUAAUUCCAGUGGAGCGCGACAACAUCUUCUGCUUUGAUAAUGUCAUGCACGAGUGUGCCUGCUGUUAGUUGCAGGACAAUGACUUCACACCAGACACAAAUGGGCAAGAACUGGCAAAGCCAAAAUAAAACUCUGUUUAUGUUGAUAAUAUCUUUCCUCUAUGCUUUGCGUGCUCCUUCUAGUGGAAGAGCUCACUCCAGCCCCGGACCAGUUUGCAGCUGAUCAUCUGCUCGGGAUGGUUUUGAAGUCAUGAUAUACUGCAGGGUUAGAAUACAAACGGAUUCUCCCAGUGCCAUUUGCAGAGGCAUUUUGCUUUUGCCCACUGUUGGAGACAGGAGCUAGAAAGACCUUUGGCCUGGCCCAGUGUCACUGCUCCUCUGUUCUUGUGCUCGUGUUGUGAAAGACUUGGAGCCCUUGUGGUAGGAAGAAAGGGAAUCUGCUUCCGCAAUAAAUUGGAGGACAAAGAGGAUCAGAGCAAUGUUUACACACAUACAGUCAUUUCUUGCUCAGUGUAUGUAUACAUAUGCACUUCAGCUAUGUGUGUCAACAGUACAUUUUUUCUAAGGGGAAAGCCUGACAAUGUCAUCCAAAUGCACUGCAAGGCUCAGAAAACAGAUGCCAAGCAACAGAAGCCAAACUGUGCAGCCAUUUUUAAAUCUCAGAAGUUUUAAGGCAAUCAAAAUAUUCUCAGGGCCUUCACCCAUGUUUUCUGAGUGUGGAGGGGCUUGGCAGUAAAUAAAGCUUCACAUUACAAAGAGGCAAAAGUAAAUAAAGUCUUCAGGGAUGCUAA